UGGGGAAUAUUGGGCAAUGGGGGAAACCCUGACCCAGCAACGCCGCGUGAGGGAAGAAGGCUUUCGGGUCGUAAACCUCUGUCCCAUGGGAAGAGCAGAAGACGGUACCAUGGGAGGAAGCCCCGGCUAACUACGUGCCAGCAGCCGCGGUAAUACGUAGGGGGCGAGCGUUGUCCGGAAUGACUGGGCGUAAAGGGCGCGUAGGCGGCCAGACAAGUCUGGAGUGAAAGUCCCGCUUUCAAGGUGGGAAUGGCUUUGGAAACUGUCUGGCUUGAGUGUGGGAGAGGAUAGCGGAAUUCCCGGUGUAGCGGUGAAAUGCGUAGAGAUCGGGAGGAACACCAGUGGCGAAGGCGGCUAUCUGGACCAAGACUGACGCUGAGGCGCGAAAGCGUGGGUAGCAAACAGG
RNAcentral lists this ribosomal RNA (406 nucleotides) under uncultured bacterium. Its description in RNAcentral is "bacterial SSU rRNA". It matches the Rfam family "Bacterial small subunit ribosomal RNA", at positions 355 to 776 of the family's 1533-position model. The record is from RNAcentral. RNAcentral also lists the same sequence under 2 other names.